GCGGCAGCGGCGAAAGCCGAAGUGGUACGAAUCCUGGGGUCGGAGGUUCGAAUCCUCUCGUGGACGCCA
RNAcentral lists this transfer RNA (69 nucleotides) under Hyphomicrobiales bacterium. RNAcentral's name for it is "Rhizobiales bacterium (bioreactor metagenome) tRNA-Ser". Lineage: Bacteria; Pseudomonadati; Pseudomonadota; Alphaproteobacteria; Hyphomicrobiales. The record is from RNAcentral.